Molecule: ribosomal RNA, 2211 nt
Filed under: Triticum aestivum (bread wheat)
Lineage: Eukaryota; Viridiplantae; Streptophyta; Magnoliopsida; Poales; Poaceae
Description: partial small subunit ribosomal RNA
Source: RNAcentral
AUGUGGGAGUCGGAGAGCGACGCCGGCGAGCGGGGGCUCGUCCCCGUCCACGGAGUCGGCGGCUCUGACCGGCACGACGGGCUCAAGAGCGACGGCUUCGUUCGCAGAGAUCAUUCUUGGUAUGUCAACAGCGAUAUCCCCAGCGAUUUGCUUGUCAAAGUGGGCGAUGUGAGCUUCCAUCUUCACAAGUACCCCAUGAUCUCCCGGAGCGGCAAGAUGGGCCGCGUCAUCUACGAGUCGACCACUGGCGCGGCCUCGGCGGCGGCGUUGGACCCGGACACGGCCGUGGCGGAGCUGGACGACCUCCCCGGCGGCGCGGACUCCUUCGAGCUGGCCGCCAGGUUCUGCUACGGCAUGGCGGUGGACCUGACGGCGUCCAACAUCUCCGGGCUGCGCUGCGCCGCCGAGUACCUGGAGAUGACGGAGGACCUGGAGGAGGGCAACCUCAUCUUCAAGACGGAGGCGUUCCUCAGCUACGUGGUGCUCUCCUCCUGGCGCGACUCCAUCGUCGUCCUCAAGAGCUGCGAGGGCCUCUCGCCCUGGGCCGAGAACCUGCAGAUCGUGCGCCGCUGCAGCGAGUCCAUCGCCUGGAAGGCCUGCGCCAACCCCAGGGGCGUCCGCUGGGCCUACACCGGCGCCGGCAGCGGCAGGCCGCCCCGGAGCGGCGCCGCGAGCCCCCGCUGGAACAACGCCGGUGGCGGCGGCGGCGGCUCCAAGGAGUCCAGCCCCGGUCGCGGGCAGCCCGUGCCGCCCGCCGACUGGUGGUUCGAGGACGUGUCCGUUCUCCGGAUCGACCACUUCGUGCGCGUCGUCACCGCCAUCAAGGUCAAAGGCAUGCGGUUCGACCUCAUCGGCGCGGCGAUCACCCACUACGCGUCGAAAUGGCUGCCGGGGCUCACCAAGGACGCCGUCCCCCACGCCGGCGGUGGCGUCGACGAGCAGUGGGCGCAGGUCUCCGCGGCCGGCGGGCUCCACAUGAUCAUCGCCGGCCCGGGCGGCAAGGACGACGUGGCCACCAGCGCGCCGGCGCGCGAGCAGCGCAUGGUGGUGGAGAGCCUCAUCAGCAUCAUCCCGCCGCAGCGGGAUAGCGUCUCCUGCGGCUUCCUCCUCCGCCUGCUCCGCCUCGCCAUCAUGCUCAAGGCCGCCCCGGCCCUCGUCACGGAGCUGGAGAAGCGGGUGGGCAUGCAGCUCGAGCAGGCGGCGCUGCCCGACCUCCUCAUCCCCUCCGUCGGCCGCGCCGACACCGCCUACGACGUCGACCUCGUGCAGCGGCUCGUCGAGCACUUCCUGGUGCAGGAGCAGACGGAGCAGGUGUCGUCGUACAGCCCGGGGCGCGGGGAGGCGCACGCGCAGCCGGAGAGGGAGUACUACGGCUCCGCCGCGGGCGCGAGGAUGCCCCCGGCCAACGCAGCGGCGGCGGCGGCGGCGUCGUCGUCGUCGGGGCUGGGGCUGAACGCCAAGGCGCGCGUGGCCCGGCUGCUGGACAGCUACCUCUCCGAGGUGUCCCGCGACCGCAACCUCUCCCUGACCAAGUUCCAGGUGCUGGCCGAGUCGCUCCCGGAGUCGGCGCGCGCCUGCGACGACGGGCUGUACCGCGCCGUGGACUCGUACCUGAAGGCGCACCCGGCGCUGACGGAGCACGAGCGGAAGCGGCUGUGCCGGGUGAUGGACUGCCAGAAGCUGUCGUUCGACGCGUGCAUGCACGCGGCGCAGAACGAGCGGCUGCCGCUGCGGGUGGUGGUGCAGGUGCUCUUCUCGGAGCAGGUGAAGAUCAGCAACGCGCUGGCGGGGUCGUCGGCGCUCAAGGCGGCGCCGGACGGGGGGGCGCCGACGCGGCGGCAGCUGCUGGACGCCACGCCGCAGUCGUUCCAGGAGGGCUGGGCGGCGGCCAAGAAGGACAUCAACACGCUCAAGUUCGAGCUGGAGAGCAUGAAGGCCAAGUACCUGGAGCUGCAGCACGACAUGGACGCGCUGCAGAAGCAGGUGACGCAGUCGCCGGCGGGCGAGCACGGCGGCAAGGCCGGCGGCAAGGCGCAGCAGCAGCAGGGGCCCUCGGCGUGGAGCAACGGGUGGAAGAAGCUGGGGAGGCUGGCCAAGAUGACGGGCGCCGAGGCGGCGGGGCCCGGCGGCGGGCACGGGCACGCGGGGGCGGGGGCGCAGGGCGAGGCGGCCAGGAAGGCGCAGAGGAGGUGGAGGAACUCCAUCUCGUGA